UGCCCUAGUAACGGCGAGUGAAGCGGCAACAGCUCAAAUUUGAAAGCUAGCCUUCGGGUUCGCAUUGUAAUUUGUAGAGGAUGAUUUGGGGAAGCCGCCUGUCUAAGUUCCUUGGAACAGGACGUCAUAGAGGGUGAGAAUCCCGUAUGUGACAGGAAAUGGCACCCUAUGUAAAUCUCCUUCGACGAGUCGAGUUGUUUGGGAAUGCAGCUCUAAAUGGGAGGUAAAUUUCUUCUAAAGCUAAAUAUUGGCGAGAGACCGAUAGCGCACAAGUAGAGUGAUCGAAAGAUGAAAAGCACUUUGGAAAGAGAGUUAAAAAGCACGUGAAAUUGUUGAAAGGGAAGCGCUUGCAAUCAGACUUGUUUAAACUGUUCGGCCGGUCUUCUGACCGGUUUACUCAGUUUGGACAGGCCAGCAUCAGUUUCGGCGGCCGGAUAAAGGCUCUGGGAAUGUGGCCUCCACUUCGGUGGAGGUGUUAUAGCCCAGGGUGUAAUACGGCCAGCCGGGACUGAGGUCCGCGCUUCGGCUAGGAUGCUGGCGUAAUGGUUGUAACGACCCUCUUGAAACACGGACCA
This 575-nucleotide ribosomal RNA is filed under the name Kabatiella microsticta. RNAcentral's name for it is "partial large subunit ribosomal RNA". It matches the Rfam family "Eukaryotic large subunit ribosomal RNA", at positions 76 to 668 of the family's 3401-position model. Lineage: Eukaryota; Fungi; Ascomycota; Dothideomycetes; Dothideales; Saccotheciaceae. The record is from RNAcentral.